This 253-nucleotide ribosomal RNA is filed under the name uncultured bacterium. Its description in RNAcentral is "partial 16S ribosomal RNA". It matches the Rfam family "Bacterial small subunit ribosomal RNA", at positions 524 to 776 of the family's 1533-position model. The record is from RNAcentral.
UACGAAGGGGGCUAGCGUUGCUCGGAAUGACUGGGCGUAAAGGGCGCGUAGGCGGAUGGCACAGUCAGAUGUGAAAUUCCUGGGCUUAACCCGGGGGCUGCAUUUGAUACGUGUGAUCUGGAGUGAGGAAGAGGGUUGUGGAAUUCCCAGUGUAGAGGUGAAAUUCGUAGAUAUUGGGAAGAACACCGGUGGCGAAGGCGGCGACCUGGUCCUUAACUGACGCUGAGGCGCGAAAGCGUGGGGAGCAAACAGG